Molecule: ribosomal RNA, 484 nt
Filed under: uncultured bacterium
Lineage: Bacteria
Description: partial 16S ribosomal RNA
Rfam family: Bacterial small subunit ribosomal RNA
Source: RNAcentral
AUUGAACGCUGGCGGCAGGCCUAACACAUGCAAGUCGAGCGGAUGAAGGGAGCUUGCUCCUGGAUUCAGCGGCGGACGGGUGAGUAAUGCCUAGGAAUCUGCCUGGUAGUGGGGGAUAACGUCCGGAAACGGGCGCUAAUACCGCAUACGUCCUGAGGGAGAAAGUGGGGGAUCUUCGGACCUCACGCUAUCAGAUGAGCCUAGGUCGGAUUAGCUAGUUGGUGGGGUAAAGGCCUACCAAGGCGACGAUCCGUAACUGGUCUGAGAGGAUGAUCAGUCACACUGGAACUGAGACACGGUCCAGACUCCUACGGGAGGCAGAAGUGGGGAAUAUUGGACAAUGGGCGAAAGCCUGAUCCAGCCAUGCCGCGUGUGUGAAGAAGGUCUUCGGAUUGUAAAGCACUUUAAGUUGGGAGGAAGGGCAGUAAGUUAAUACCUUGCUGUUUUGACGUUACCAACAGAAUAAGCACCGGCUAACUUAGUG